This 445-nucleotide ribosomal RNA is filed under the name uncultured bacterium. Its description in RNAcentral is "partial 16S ribosomal RNA". It matches the Rfam family "Bacterial small subunit ribosomal RNA", at positions 354 to 796 of the family's 1533-position model. The record is from RNAcentral.
GUGAGGAAUAUUGGUCAAUGGGCGGGAGCCUGAACCAGCCAAGUCGCGUGAAGGAAGAAGGAUCUAUGGUUCGUAAACUUCUUUUGCAGGGGAAUAAAGUGCAGGACGUGUCCUGUUUUGUAUGUACCCUGAGAAUAAGGAUCGGCUAACUCCGUGCCAGCAGCCGCGGUAAUACGGAGGAUCCGAGCGUUAUCCGGAUUUAUUGGGUUUAACGGGUGCGUAGGUGGUUUGAUAAGUCAGCGGUGAAAGUUUGCAGCUUAACUGUAAAAAUGCCGUUGAAACUGUCGGACUUGAGUGUAAAUGAGGUAGGCGGAAUGCGUGGUGUAGCGGUGAAAUGCAUAGAUAUCACGCAGAACUCCGAUUGCGAAGGCAGCUUACUAAGCUACAACUGACACUGAAGCACGAAAGCGUGGGGAUCAAACAGGAUUAGAUACCCUUGUAGUCC